This 104-nucleotide transfer RNA is filed under the name Aspergillus avenaceus. It matches the Rfam family "tRNA". From Rfam's summary of the family: Transfer RNA (tRNA) molecules are approximately 80 nucleotides in length. Lineage: Eukaryota; Fungi; Ascomycota; Eurotiomycetes; Eurotiales; Aspergillaceae. The record is from Rfam by way of RNAcentral.
GUCAGUGUGGCCGAGUGGUUAAGGCGAUUGACUCGAACUCUCCUUCGGGACAAAUUCGUUAUCAAUUCCGUUCGCGGGCGCAUGUUCGAAUCAUGCCGCUGACG